Molecule: ribosomal RNA, 454 nt
Filed under: uncultured Rikenellaceae bacterium
Lineage: Bacteria; Pseudomonadati; Bacteroidota; Bacteroidia; Bacteroidales; Rikenellaceae
Also listed under: 1 other name
Description: partial 16S ribosomal RNA
Rfam family: Bacterial small subunit ribosomal RNA
Source: RNAcentral
ACGGGAGGCAGCAGUGAGGAAUAUUGGUCAAUGGGCGGAAGCCUGAACCAGCCAUGCCGCGUGCAGGAAUAAGGUCCUAUGGAUUGUAAACUGCUUUUGAGUGGGAGCAAUAAGGCGUACGUGUACGCCGAUGAGAGUACCAUUCGAAUAAGCAUCGGCUAACUCCGUGCCAGCAGCCGCGGUAAUACGGAGGAUGCAAGCGUUAUCCGGAUUUAUUGGGUUUAAAGGGUGCGUAGGCUGUUUGUCAAGUCAGGGGUGAAAUGCCGGUGCUUAACAUCGGAACUGCCUUUGAUACUGACAGGCUUGAAUACUGUUGCCGUGGGAGGAAUGAGUAGUGUAGCGGUGAAAUGCAUAGAUAUUACUCAGAACACCGAUUGCGAAGGCAUCUCACGAAGCAGUAAUUGACGCUGAGGCACGAAAGCGUGGGGAUCAAACAGGAUUAGAUACCCUGGUA